Molecule: ribosomal RNA, 520 nt
Filed under: uncultured bacterium
Lineage: Bacteria
Description: bacterial SSU rRNA
Rfam family: Bacterial small subunit ribosomal RNA
Source: RNAcentral
GGGAACAUACCCUUUUCUACGGAAUAGCUCUGGGAAACUGGAAUUAAUACCGUAUACGCCCUACGGGGGAAAGAUUUAUCGGGGAAGGAUUGGCCCGCGUUGGAUUAGCUAGUUGGUGGGGUAAAGGCCUACCAAGGCGACGAUCCAUAGCUGGUCUGAGAGGAUGAUCAGCCACAUUGGGACUGAGACACGGCCCAAACUCCUACGGGAGGCAGCAGUGGGGAAUAUUGGACAAUGGGCGCAAGCCUGAUCCAGCCAUGCCGCGUGAGUGAUGAAGGCCUUAGGGUUGUAAAGCUCUUUCACCGAUGAAGAUAAUGACGGUAGUCGGAGGAGAAGCCCCGGCUAACUUCGUGCCAGCAGCCGCGGUAAUACGAAGGGGGCUAGCGUUGUUCGGAAUUACUGGGCGUAAAGCGCACGUAGGCGGAUAUUUAAGUCAGGGGUGAAAUCCCAGAGCUCAACUCUGGAACUGCCUUUGAUACUGGGUAUCUUGAGUAUGGAAGAGGUAAGUGGAAUUGCGAGU